This 274-nucleotide ribosomal RNA is filed under the name uncultured bacterium. RNAcentral describes it as "partial 16S ribosomal RNA". It matches the Rfam family "Bacterial small subunit ribosomal RNA", at positions 523 to 796 of the family's 1533-position model. The record is from RNAcentral.
ACACGUAUGGUGCAAACGUUGUUCGGAAUCACUAGGCCUAAAGAGCGCGUAGGCGGCUUGGUAAGGUAGGUGUGAAAUCCCUCGGCUCAACCGAGGAACUGCACCUAAUACUGCCUGGCUAGAGUGCAGGAGGGGAGAGUGGAAUUCCUGGUGGAGCGGUGAAAUGCGUAAAUAUCAGGAGGAACGCCGGUGGCGAAAGCGACUCUCUGGCCUGCUACUGACGCUGAGGCGCGAAAGCUAGGGGAGCAAACGGGAUUAGAAACCCCAGUAGUCC